GAUGAAGAACGCAGCGAAAUGCGAUACGUAAUGUGAAUUGCAGAAUUCAGUGAAUCAUCGAAUCUUUGAACGCAUAUUGCGCUCUUUGGUAUUCCGAAGAGCAUGCUUGUUUGAGUAUCAGUAAACACCUCAAAGCUUUUGGAUUUUUUAAUCGAAAAGCUUUGGACUUGAGCAAUCCCAACACCAAUCUUUUUGAGAUCGGUGGCGGGUUGCUUGAAAUGCAGGUGCAGCUGGACAUUCUCCUGAGCUAAAAGCAUAUCUAUUUAGUCCUCGUCAAACAGGAUUAUUACUUUUGCUGCAGCUAACAUAAAGGAUAAUUGUCCUCUUUGCUGACUGAUGCAGGAUUUUACGACACUUUAUGUGUUGUUCAACUCGAUCUCAAAUCAAGUAAGACUACCCGCUGAACUUAAGCAUAUCAAUAAGCGGAGGA
This 430-nucleotide unclassified non-coding RNA is filed under the name soil metagenome. RNAcentral describes it as "partial contains 5.8S ribosomal RNA, internal transcribed spacer 2, and large subunit ribosomal RNA". The stretch from base 1 to 120 matches the Rfam family "5.8S ribosomal RNA", at positions 35 to 154 of the family's 154-position model. The record is from RNAcentral.